AGGGGCCGCCUUUGUACGGCGGCGUGGGGGGGGAGCUCCCGGCUCCGACCGCGCCUCGUCAGGGCGGAUCUGCCCCGGAGCGGGUCGCAUCGGCAUAAGGAAGAAAUUCUUCACCCUGAGGUACUGGGAGUUUCCCAUUUUCUUUCUCCUCCAGCUCCUCCAGAAGCUGCUGCCAGCCCUCCACUCCUGUCGGUGGCACCUGGCAGGGAGAUGAGCCGUUUUCAAAAUUAGGAAGAAGGGCACUGGGAAUGCAGGAGAAGAAUGCAGCAGUGACUGAAGCUAUCCCGAGGUCAUCUUGAAUACACCCAGCCUCAGACCAACAACAUCUGCAAAAUACAGGAUGCAAAUGGUUUGGAGAUAUUCUUCUGUGUCAAUAAGCAUUCUCGUCUUGAGCGUUUUCACAUUCCUCCUACACUUCAAAAUUUUGCAGAGCAUUGUUUUGUGUGACCAUGACCUGACCAAAGCACUGUGCCGAUCCACCUCCAUUGUUCCUCCAUGUGCCAGCCUUUGUGGUGCGCGUGUGUGAGCAGAGGAAGGCAGAUCCUGCUGCCUGCUUGUGGGAAAGUGUUCUUUUCUAAGUGAUGGUAAACACUGCCUAAUUCAGCAAGAGAUAUUUUUACACUGGAAGUAAAGGAAAAGCAAGAUAGGAAGCUUUCUUUUCUCCUGUUUUUUUGUUUGGAAGGCUACCGUUUGGAAACUAAGAGAGGACAUCUAAGCUGGACCAAUCACUCUGUAGAAAUGUGGGAGCAGCCAGAGGAGGAGCAAGCUGCCCUGCUUCUAGAGCAGACAGUUGUGGGGUGAGCGGAUCUUCCCGGUGCACCAGGUCCAUAUCCAUCUUUUCCAGCACUCACAUCCAGUGCUGCUACUGAAACACCAGUGCUAGGUUGGUUGGUGGUGGGUUACGGAGGUGGAGGUUUAGGUUGGAAGCAGCAUACUGGGUUUAGGCAGGUAAUGCUAGCAGGAGACAGCCACCAUCCUGUGCAGCAGCAGCAUCCUGGGACUGGUCAGUGCUGGAUCAGAAAGGGAAGGGAAGGAAAGGAAAGGAAAAAGUUCACAUCGCGUCCAAGGAGUGGAGCAGGUAGGACAAUGUUCAGAGGGGUUGUAGAACUCCAGCGCUUCCUGUUUUCCUGUGGGCAGGAGCUGUGAUUGUCACAUUAUUCAGCUUCUCAUCCUGGGAGGAAGACAGUAUCAGGCUGUGCCGGGGCAGCAGGAUGUUUAUGUGACAGACUGAGUCAAGGUACUGCUUUUAAUACUCUCCGGAGCAGAGUCAUUGGGGGAAAUGUACAUUUUAGAUUAUAUUUGUGUUUUUUUUUUAAAGGGAGUCAUAAACAUCCAAAGUGCUUUGCAACCACCAUUCAGGCUGCACAGCUAGCUGCCAGCACCGAGUGCCAUUCUUUCUAAAGCCAUUACACAAGAAUUGUACAAGGUGCCAUCAAAUAUUGUAAUUUACUGAGGAUUUGUAUGAUUAGUGAAGUUCAGUUAAGCUUUGCUUAAUUACUACGUCAGCUGUUAAACUGAUCAUUGUCUGCAUCCAUACAAGCACCACACCGUAAUAAGAAGGGGACUGAGAUGUGACUGGGGUUCCUGCAGGCCCAGCUAUCACAGGUCUUCAUCCCAUGCCUCACCACACCCUGUUUGGCUUUUAAAACACCAUAGCAUGUAGGGGGCUGAAAGAAACCAGAAGCAUGUGCAGACAAACAGACAAGGCAGUGCCUAUGUGUGUGGUAAUUUGGAAUAUCCAGCCCUUCACAUUUUCUUUCUCAUUUAUUUUGAAUAUGAAACAACUGUCACCCUAUUGUGUUCCUUAAUAUCAUGUUCUUGAGGGUGGGACUCUCGGUUGGGCAUUGCUGUCAGCCCGGCAUUUCUCUCCUCGUGUCAAAAGUCCUUCCCUUUUGGUGGGACUCACAGCUGGGGUUACAACUGCUGCUCCCCAUUCAACACUUGGGCAGCUCCUGUUGCCCCGACACUGACCUUAGCCAAAAUAUUGGGUUCAGCUUGUCUGUGACUGCUCUGGACUCAUCCUAAUGGACACUGGGAUUUAUGGGGGGAGCCAGGAGGCUGAGGCUGAAACACCUUGGAGGAACCUGGCCCUUCUGCAUACCUGAGGUGCAGAAACCCUGCGGCCACUGCUGGUGGAGAACCUGCUCCUGCUGGAUGAGUGUGUCCUGAGGGAAAGGCAAGCUGCAAAAGCACUGCCGAGGCUCCUGCAGGACAGGUUCCUGUGGAGGGACGUUUGAACCUCCCAAAACUGGUGUAAGGGCAGCAUCCCACUUCGUGGUCCUGCAGGGGGCUGCAGCAAACCCUGGGAAAUUGAUGUCAUUUUAGCCCAAAGACCUGGACUGCUGAGAUGUCUGUCCAUUGCUCCUGGCCUUUCCCAUGGGAAUAAGGCCAGGUUGGUUGUUGAAUUUUCUUGAUUGCUCAUUCAGCAUCUUCUCAAAUACUCAGAGAUCUCUGCUGUUAGGGUGAUUUUUAGGGAGAGGCAGUCAGGCAGGCUUAGGCUAUCUCCACACCUGGCUUUGCGGGAUGUUACUGCUUAUGGAUGAGUGACAUUUCUAGGAACUUGGGAGAGUCUGGUCCUAACUGUGUUAAUAUACCAGAAGUGGCAGGGGAAAACAGGUUUAAGAUCUGUUUGGUUUACAUUUUUUUUUUCUCAGACAAUAACCCACCAAAUAUUCCCAGGUCGUUUAUAUUUAGAUAAGGCUGUGCAGUGUCCUGUGAAAGGAAAGUGACACAUCUACUGCUCUGGGGGGCAAGACAGCGUGGGACAAACAGACCUGACUGAAGUGAGGCACAGCGACAAUAAAUGAUGCCACGGAUGCAGGAGAGUGCAUCAAACACGCAGUCCCUGUGCGGGGACACCCACCUAUCCAGGGCCAGGUCCUGUGGGGUGGAGCCCACUCCCAUCUGACCGUGCAGUGGGAUGAAACCUCUGGAUACACCCUCCCCUGUAUGCUGCCACACUCCUGGAGACCAAGUGCAUACUUUAAAUGUCUUUGUGGGAGCAGCCCGUUGUUGCUAGGUACAGGCAGGGAAAUUAUAAAAACAACCCCCCUCUUUUUCUUUUAAUUGCUCGUAGAGUAAUUGCAGAGAUUUUUGCUUGACAAGGAAUAGGUUAUGAGGCAAGGAAAACCUUCUAAUUCUUCUUCUUCUUCCUCUUCCUCUUCUUCUUCUUCUUCUUUUACUUCUGCUUCUUCUAAUUCUGAUUCUUCAUUUCUGAUUGACCAUUGCUCUUGCCUAAAGCCUUGCAGCAGGCUUUGCCACUGGGAGCAAAGAUGAUGAAGGCGCUGGAGAGGACUGGUGAUGGAGGCGUGGUGUUGGGCUCUGCCCCACACGGACUGGCCUCCUGGGGGAACGGCACACAUCGCUUGUUUUUGUCCCGAGGGUGGGCAAACCAGGGGGGAACGGGAGGUGAUAGUGGAGCCUCCAUACCAAAACAGCAUUUUUAGCAGCUGGGCAGAAUGAGCUUGUCUCACUGCUGGGACUGAUUUGGGAGUGCUGUCCCUGCCCUGGACCUUCAAGUUUAAGUGGAGCACUGAAAUGCCUCUGAAGACCUGGCCACAGGAUUGUUUGAACCCACAGGCCGAUUUGGUUGCUGCAGUACAUUGCCACUCCUGUUUUCCCUCCGGGGCAGCCCCUUUUUGGAGAACGAUGUGGGUGCCCCAUGAAAGCUGCCAGUGCUGGCUGCACCCAAAAAUACUCCUGCUCUGAAGGGGCAG
Cygnus atratus (black swan) is the source of this 3716-nucleotide long non-coding RNA. RefSeq lists it as uncharacterized. The transcript is spliced from 3 exons. The record is from RefSeq and is a predicted model, not a curated record. NCBI's taxonomy places the organism in Eukaryota, Metazoa, Chordata, Aves, Anseriformes, Anatidae.